CAAGUCGAACGGGUAACAGGGAAACAGCCUUGCCUGUUUCGCUGACGAGUGGCGGACGGGUGAGUAAUGUUCUGGGAAACUGCCUGAUGGAGGGGGAUAACUACUGGAAACGGUAGCUAAUACCGCAUAACGUCGCAAGACCAAAGAGGGGGACCCUCGGGCCUCUUGCCAUCGGAUGUGCCCAGAUGGGAUUAGCUUGUUGGUGGGGUAACGGCUCACCAAGGCGACGAUCCCUAGCUGGUCUGAGAGGAUGACCAGCCACACUGGAACUGAGACACGGUCCAGACUCCUACGGGAGGCAGCAGUGGGGAAUAUUGCACAAUGGGCGCAAGCCUGAUGCAGCCAUGCCGCGUGUAUGAAGAAGGCCUUCGGGUUGUAAAGUACUUUCAGCGGGGAGGAAGGGAGUAAAGUUAAUACCUUUGCUCAUUGACGUUACCCGCAGAAGAAGCACCGGCUAACUCCGUGCCAGCAGCCGCGGUAAUACGGAGGGUGCAAGCGUUAAUCGGAAUUACUGGGCGUAAAGCGCACGCAGGCGGUUUGUUAAGUCAGAUGUGAAAUCCCCGGGCUCAACCUGGGAACUGCAUCUGAUACUGGCAAGCUUGAGUCUCGUAGAGGGGGGUAGAAUUCCAGGUGUAGCGGUGAAAUGCGUAGAGAUCUGGAGGAAUACCGGUGGCGAAGGCGGCCCCCUGGACGAAGACUGACGCUCAGGUGCGAAAGCAUGGGGAGCAAACAGGAUUAGAUACCCUGGUAGUCCACGCCGUAAACGAUGUCGACUUGGAGGUUGUGCCCUUGAGGCGUGGCUUCCGGAGCUAACGCGUUAAGUCGACCGCCUGGGGAGUACGGCCGCAAGGUUAAAACUCAAAUGAA
This 867-nucleotide ribosomal RNA is filed under the name uncultured Escherichia sp. RNAcentral describes it as "bacterial SSU rRNA". It matches the Rfam family "Bacterial small subunit ribosomal RNA", at positions 58 to 909 of the family's 1533-position model. The record is from RNAcentral. Lineage: Bacteria; Pseudomonadati; Pseudomonadota; Gammaproteobacteria; Enterobacterales; Enterobacteriaceae.